AUGAGUGGUUAAUCUGGCCUCAAUGAGUCGUUUAAACCUUGAACUCCUGUGAAAUCUAGAUAAUUUGCCUUUGGGUGAGAGUCCAAAAAGUGGCAAUGGCAGUACUAACAAAAAGAUACAAAAUGCUCUUAUCAUGGCUCAACUGGAGAGGCCCUCCAUGUAUUCUCAACUCUGAGGGCCCAAAUAUCGAUUUUCGUGGUUUCUAAACUUGAUCUUGGAUUAAUCCAUGUCCUCAAGUGGAUGAAGAUUUUAAAGUACAUCACUGAAGAUGAAGAGCUGCGAUGCAUUCCUGCCAUAAUCAUGGUGGUCGACAAGGAGGGAGAUCGAUGUCCAUGGUUGCUGACUGCUUGAGAAAUGGAGCAGUGGACUCAUCUCAUGAUGCCUUUAGGCAUGAAUAAAUUAUUGAAACUGGCGGACUCAUGUGGAGAGCAAGACGCAUGCUUGGACUUCCAGGCACGUCUACCCCUCUAGACAUGCAUGUGCCAUUUUGAGAUUGGAAGGUCUUCAUGCCAUGGUCGUAGGCCUAUAUGGCGCUGCCUAAUCAAUUACUUGCCAACUUUUUGCACGAUUUUCAACCACCUUUCUUCACGUUAGAGAAGACGCCAUUCAUCAUUUGAGAAUGGAAGGUUUUAUUAGACAGUUUGAAAUAUUGCAGGCAUAACCCUUUGGAAUUUAGAUGUAUUCUUGAAAAUAUUAUUAAGUUUAAAUUUUUCCUAAUAAGAAAAAAUAAUCAUGAAACAUAUAUAAAGAUAAAUGUGUUGUUGUUUUUCUUAUAAGUUUAAUGCACCAUAGCUUUAUAUUAUGGAGAUA
Vitis riparia (riverbank grape) is the source of this 810-nucleotide long non-coding RNA. RefSeq lists it as uncharacterized. The transcript has 4 exons. NCBI's taxonomy places the organism in Eukaryota, Viridiplantae, Streptophyta, Magnoliopsida, Vitales, Vitaceae. The record is from RefSeq and is a predicted model, not a curated record.